UACGGGGGGGGCAAGCGUUGUUCGGAAUUACUGGGCGUAAAGGGUUCGUAGGUGGCCAACUAAGUCAGACGUGAAAUCCCUCAGCUUAACUGGGGAACUGCGUCUGAGACUGGAUGGCUUGAGUGCAGGAGAGGAACGCGGAAUUCCAGGUGUAGCGGUGAAAUGCGUAGAUAUCUGGAGGAACACCGGUGGCGAAGGCGGCGUUCUGGACUGCAACUGACACUGAGGAACGAAAGCCAGGGGAGCAAACAGG
Molecule: ribosomal RNA, 253 nt
Filed under: uncultured bacterium
Lineage: Bacteria
Description: partial 16S ribosomal RNA
Rfam family: Bacterial small subunit ribosomal RNA
Source: RNAcentral